Molecule: ribosomal RNA, 497 nt
Filed under: uncultured bacterium
Lineage: Bacteria
Description: partial 16S ribosomal RNA
Rfam family: Bacterial small subunit ribosomal RNA
Source: RNAcentral
GACGAACGCUGGCGGUGUGCUUAACACAUGCAAGUCGAGCGAUGAAGACUGGUGGUUGCACCAAUUUGAAGAGGAGCGAACGGGUGAGUAACGUGGGGGGGCUCUGCCUGUGAGCGGGGGACAACAUAUGGAAACGAAUGCUAACACCGCAUAAUAACUUUAAACAUAAGUUUUAAGUUAGAAAGAUGAAAUUGCAUCACACAGAGAUGAUCUCGCGUUGUAUUAGCUAGUUGGUGGGGUAAAGGCUCGCCAAGGCGAUGAUACAGAGCCGACCUGAGAGGGAGGCCGGCCACAUUGGGACGGAGACACGGCCCAAACGCCUACGGGAGGCGGCAGUAGGGACUCUGGGGCGAUGGACGGGAGUCUGUCCGAGCAAGGCCGAAUGCGUGAAGAAGGAAUUCGGAUCGUGAAACUCUGUUGGUAGAGAAGAGCGUUGGUGAGAGUGGGAAGCUGAGCAAGUGACGGUAACUGCCCAAGAAGACCCGGCUAACUACGUG